Molecule: long non-coding RNA, 1519 nt
Organism: Microplitis demolitor
Lineage: Eukaryota; Metazoa; Arthropoda; Insecta; Hymenoptera; Braconidae
Exons: 5
Source: RefSeq, a predicted model, not a curated record
AUUAGCAAAAAUUACUGAUUAUAUUGAGUUUAUAAGUAUAAUUUAUGAGGCUGGAAGGUAAUUAUUCAGUUUAUUUAUAUGCUUGUAAUUAUUGCGGGUGGUCGGCGCAUGCGCGGCGACGCAACAGUUGUCAGCAACAAAUUUAUUAAAUUAUCAAUGAAAUUUAUAAUUAUGUUACAUACACUAUCAAUGGGCUUAUAUAUUUAAAUUACUGUUAAUUAAUAAUAUACAAAGUAAUUGGGCAUUUGACGGCGGGAAUUGGCAAGGCUACACAAUUGACAUCGGGUACGUCAGCGUUGGUAGUAUUUGAAAGUAACAUGCGAUAGAGAUAUUACUCCAAUGGGUUAAACUGAGAUGCAUAUAUGAAAUAUGGCCGGUCGAGGUGCCGGCAUGAAAAUCACGUGCUGCCAUGGUCAGACGUGGAUAAUCUUUUGUACGAGCAGGGUGUGCUGUUGCGUGCUAAAAUUUGUCAAGUGAUUUUGCUUUGAUUUACAUACACAUAUCUCUGGUCAAUUGAGUUAUUUUGAGUUACACAAAUAUUGCAACUGAUGAUGGAGCCGAUCCGCCACUUGUACUACGACGACGACUGAAUGGCUCGAGACCGAAGACGCCCGAAGUCGUGCGGGGAGCGAGUAAUUGUAAACGGGGACCGGAACGAAAAAGGAUACUUAUCACCGGAACGACCGGACCAGACAGAUGUUGUCUAGGCCACAGAGAGAGUAGAAGCUAACAACAUCUGAACAGGCGCCAUUGUCGGACGCCAUUAAUCGGAAAUCAGGUUGAAGGAGAAAAUGGGUAGAGGAGACGAGAGAUAGGAGAGAGAACGAGAUAAAAGACGAGAAUUAAUAGGGACGGAACCAGGAACGAGACAAUAAUUCACAGAUACGAGAUAGAAGCACCAGGACAAAACGACAAACAAGGAUAACCACGACAAGGACAGAUUGGAAAAUUUAAUUGUUGUAAAAUGUAAUUGUAAUAAAAAUAAUAGAAUUGUGUGCGGCGUCACGCUCAUACGUUGACCAGUCUAGGGUUAUAUCAAAAUAUCUAAAAUUGGUACUUAUAGUCAAGAAGAUAUCGCGGUUCUGGAAAACAGUGUCGAACUUGGACAUGCAGGAAGCAACUUUUUUUUUUCUAUUGAAAUGUUGGAAAGCUGCAGACGCUCAAACAUCAUUUACAUCCAUGGGAACUUCUUUUGUAAAAUCAGUUUUUAGUAGUGAAGAAAUCUUGAACAGUAAUUUGAGAGGAAAAAGAAGUAGCAUUAACGUAGAUGCACCUGUACGACCUGCAUUAGAUCCUAUAAAACUGGCAGCAAUUAAAAGUAAAAAAAAAACAAAAAGACACUGCUUUCUUUGUAAUUAAAAGGAAACUGUAAGUAAUAAGUUUGAGAAGUUCAAAAGAGGAUAUUCUGAAACAGGAAUAAAUAGUAUGCUGAAUGAAAAGCGCCGUAAAAAUCAAUAGCAACUUAAUAAAGUUAAUCAAGCUGAAGGCAAUAAAUAACAUAUGCUUUUCAAAUAAACCG